RNAcentral lists this ribosomal RNA (253 nucleotides) under uncultured bacterium. Its description in RNAcentral is "partial 16S ribosomal RNA". It matches the Rfam family "Bacterial small subunit ribosomal RNA", at positions 524 to 776 of the family's 1533-position model. The record is from RNAcentral.
UACAGAGGGGGCAAGCGUUGUUCGGAAUUACUGGGCGUAAAGGGCGCGUAGGCGGCCAACUAAGUCAGACGUGAAAUCCCUCGGCUCAACCGGGGAACUGCGUCUGAUACUGGAUGGCUUGAAUCCGGGAGAGGGAUGUGGAAUUCCAGGUGUAGCGGUGAAAUGCGUAGAUAUCUGGAGGAACACCCGUGGCGAAGGCGGCAUCCUGGACCGGUAUUGACGCUGAGGCGCGAAAGCCAGGGGAGCAAACGGG